ACUUUGUGCUGGCUGGCAACUGAUCAUGUAACACGGUCUCCGUUGGCGAUCGAGAAGUAGAACUCGUAACAAAGGUCUUGGGAAGUAAAAAAGCGUAACAAGGUUUCCGUAGGUGAACCUGCGGAAGGAUCAUUACCGAGUUUUCGGGCUUCGGCUCGACUCUCCCACCCUUUGUGAACGUACCUCUGUUGCUUUGGCGGCUCCGGCCGCCAAAGGACCUCCAAACUCCAGUCAGUAAACGCAGACGUCUGAUAAACAAGUUAAUAAACUAAAACUUUCAACAACGGAUCUCUUGGUUCUGGCAUCGAUGAAGAACGCAGCGAAAUGCGAUAAGUAAUGUGAAUUGCAGAAUUCAGUGAAUCAUCGAAUCUUUGAACGCACAUUGCGCCCCUUGGUAUUCCGGGGGGCAUGCCUGUUCGAGCGUCAUUACAACCCUCAAGCUCUGCUUGGAAUUGGGCACCGUCCUCACUGCGGACGCGCCUCAAAGACCUCGGCGGUGGCUGUUCAGCCCUCAAGCGUAGUAGAAUACACCUCGCUUUGGAGUGGUUGGCGUCGCCCGCCGGACGAACCUUCUGAACUUUUCUCAAGGUUGACCUCGGAUCAGGUAGG
This 609-nucleotide ribosomal RNA is filed under the name Lasiodiplodia pseudotheobromae. Its description in RNAcentral is "eukaryotic LSU rRNA". The stretch from base 273 to 426 matches the Rfam family "5.8S ribosomal RNA". Lineage: Eukaryota; Fungi; Ascomycota; Dothideomycetes; Botryosphaeriales; Botryosphaeriaceae. The record is from RNAcentral.